This 393-nucleotide ribosomal RNA is filed under the name uncultured bacterium. RNAcentral describes it as "partial 16S ribosomal RNA". It matches the Rfam family "Bacterial small subunit ribosomal RNA", at positions 523 to 918 of the family's 1533-position model. The record is from RNAcentral.
AUACGGAGGAUGCAAGCGUUAUCCGGAUUUAUUGGGUUUAAAGGGUGCGUAGGCUGUUUGUCAAGUCAGCGGUGAAAAUCUGGUGCUUAACAUCAGGAGUGCCGUUGAUACUGGCGGACUAGAGUAUGAUUGACGUAAGUGGAAUGUAGCAUGUAGCGGUGAAAUGCAUAGAGAUGCUACAGAACACCGAUAGCGAAGGCAGCUUACGAAGUCACAACUGACGCUCAGGCACGAAAGCGUGGGGAGCGAACAGGAUUAGAUACCCUGGUAGUCCACGCAGUAAACGAUGAUAACUGGCUUUUGGCGAUAGACGGUCAGAGGCUGAGAGAAAUCAAUAAGUUAUCCACCUGGGGAGUACGAUGGCAACAUUGAAACUCAAAUGAAUUGACGGGG